Sus scrofa (pig) is the source of this 407-nucleotide non-coding RNA. RefSeq annotates it as RNase MRP. NCBI's taxonomy places the organism in Eukaryota, Metazoa, Chordata, Mammalia, Artiodactyla, Suidae. The record is from RefSeq and is a predicted model, not a curated record.
CCCUGCUAUGGAAAAAGGAAAGGACAACACUGCAGCAACACAGUUCUCCAUAACCUCAGUUUCCAGAGCCAAUAGGAGGAGGAGAAUUUCAGGCAGCAAAAGCAACUAUAAAAGGUUACAGGAGCCCACCCACCAGUGAAGCUCGUGCUGAAGGCCUGUUUCCUAGGCUACAAACGAGGGACUAGUUCCUUAUUUACGCCUAGGGGAAAGUCCCCGGACCUAAGGCAGAGAGUGCCACGUGCGCCUGCACGUAGACUGUCCCUGCACCUCACGGUUAAUCCGCUAAGAAGCGAUUUCGCCGAGCGGCGUGUGGCAGGGAUGUCAUCCGUCAGCCGAAAUAGUUACACAGGCAGUGCGCUUCCGCGCACCAACCACACGGGGCUCAUUCUCAGCACGGCUGAUUUUAA